GGCCGCUUAGAUUAGUGGUUAUAUCGUGAGCUUUACAGUACGAUUCACACCGUACGACUUGUAUACGCUCAAUGUCGCAGGUUCGAUCCCUGCAGUGGUCA
This 101-nucleotide transfer RNA is filed under the name Pyricularia grisea. RNAcentral's name for it is "Magnaporthe grisea tRNA". It matches the Rfam family "tRNA". From Rfam's summary of the family: Transfer RNA (tRNA) molecules are approximately 80 nucleotides in length. The record is from Rfam by way of RNAcentral. Lineage: Eukaryota; Fungi; Ascomycota; Sordariomycetes; Magnaporthales; Pyriculariaceae.